RNAcentral lists this ribosomal RNA (563 nucleotides) under Dendrostoma quercinum. RNAcentral describes it as "eukaryotic LSU rRNA". It matches the Rfam family "Eukaryotic large subunit ribosomal RNA", at positions 69 to 655 of the family's 3401-position model. The record is from RNAcentral. Lineage: Eukaryota; Fungi; Ascomycota; Sordariomycetes; Diaporthales; Erythrogloeaceae.
CAGGGAUUGCCCUAGUAACGGCGAGUGAAGCGGCAACAGCUCAAAUUUGAAAUCUGGCUUCGGCCCGAGUUGUAAUUUGCAGAGGAUGUUUCUGGCGCGGUGCCUUCCGAGUUCCCUGGAACGGGACGCCACAGAGGGUGAGAGCCCCGUAUGGUUGGACACCAAGCCUGUGUGAAACUCCUUCGACGAGUCGAGUAGUUUGGGAAUGCUGCUCAAAAUGGGAGGUAAAUCUCUUCUAAAGCUAAAUACCGGCCAGAGACCGAUAGCGCACAAGUAGAGUGAUCGAAAGAUGAAAAGCACCUUGAAAAGGGGGUUAAACAGUACGUGAAAUUGUUGAAAGGGAAGCACUUGUGACCAGACUUGUGCCGGGCGGUUCAUCCGGGGUUCUCCCCGGUGCACUCCGCCCGGUAUAGGCCAGCAUCGGUUCUCUCUGGGGGAUAAGAACGGUGGGAACGUGGCCCUCCCUCGGGAGGGUGUUAUAGCCCGCCGUACGAUAUCCUGGAGGGGACCGAGGUUCGCGCUCCGCAAGGAUGCUGGCGUAAUGGUCACCAGUGACCCGUCUU